GUAGGGGGCAAGCGUUGUCCGGAUUCAUUGGGCGUAAAGCGCGUGUAGGCGGUUCAAUAGGUCCGAUGUGAAAACUCGAGGCUCAACUUCGAGAGGCCAUCGGAAACCAUUGGACUAGAGUCCGGAAGAGGAGAGUGGAAUUCCUGAUGUAGCGGUGAAAUGCGCAGAUAUCAGGAAGAACACCGAUGGCGAAGGCAGCUCUCUGGGACGGUACUGACGCUGAGACGCGAAAGCGUGGGGGGAGCGAACAGGAUUGGAUACCCUGGUAGUCCACGCCCGUAAACGAUGGGCACUAGGUGUGGGUGGUGUCGACUCCAUCCGUGCCGCAGCUACGCAUUAAGUGCCCCCCGGCCUGGGGAGUACGGCCGCAAGGCUA
RNAcentral lists this ribosomal RNA (376 nucleotides) under uncultured organism. RNAcentral describes it as "partial 16S ribosomal RNA". It matches the Rfam family "Bacterial small subunit ribosomal RNA", at positions 527 to 896 of the family's 1533-position model. The record is from RNAcentral.